AGCAGGUCCCAAGGGUUGGGCUGUUCGCCCAUUAAAGCGGUACGCGAGCUGGGUUUAGAACGUCGUGAGACAGUUCGGUCCCUAUCCUCUGUAGCCGUAGGAGAUUUGAGAAAGGCUGUCCCUAGUACGAGAGGACCGGGAUGGACGCAGCUCUCGUGUGCCAGUUGUUCCGCCAGGAGCAUGGCUGGUUGGCGACCUGCGGAAAGGAUAAGCGCUGAAAGCAUCUAAGCGCGAAACCUGUUUCGAGAUGAGAUCUCCCACUGGAUAACCAGGUAAGGCCCGUGGCAGACCACCACGUUGAUAGGCCGGAUGUGUAAGCGCGGCGACGUGUUCAGCAGACCGGUACUAAUCGGCCGAGGGCUUGGGCUC
This 369-nucleotide ribosomal RNA is filed under the name Actinomycetes bacterium. Its description in RNAcentral is "bacterial LSU rRNA". It matches the Rfam family "Bacterial large subunit ribosomal RNA", at positions 2557 to 2925 of the family's 2925-position model. RNAcentral also lists the same sequence under 1 other name. The record is from RNAcentral. Lineage: Bacteria; Bacillati; Actinomycetota; Actinomycetes.